UCCUGAUUGGCUCAGACAGUACAUACAGCACAGGAUUCUUGGUCUUGGGGCUGUGAGUUCAAGUCCCACAUUGGGUG
This 77-nucleotide transfer RNA is filed under the name Felis catus (domestic cat). It matches the Rfam family "tRNA". From Rfam's summary of the family: Transfer RNA (tRNA) molecules are approximately 80 nucleotides in length. Their secondary structure includes four short double-helical elements and three loops (D, anti-codon, and T loops). The record is from Rfam by way of RNAcentral. Lineage: Eukaryota; Metazoa; Chordata; Mammalia; Carnivora; Felidae.